This 85-nucleotide small nucleolar RNA is filed under the name Jaculus jaculus (lesser Egyptian jerboa). RNAcentral describes it as "Small nucleolar RNA SNORD79 (ENSJJAG00000007476.1)". It matches the Rfam family "Small nucleolar RNA SNORD79". From Rfam's summary of the family: snoRNA U79 or Z22 is found in intron 7 of the gas5 gene in humans and is also present in mice. U79 is a member of the C/D class of snoRNA which contain C (UGAUGA) and D (CUGA) box motifs. The record is from Rfam by way of RNAcentral. Lineage: Eukaryota; Metazoa; Chordata; Mammalia; Rodentia; Dipodidae.
UGCUGUUAGUGAUGACUUACUUAAAGUUAAAAAGAUGGGAAUCUCUCUGAAAGAGAAUGAAGAUUAAUUCAAAGCUGAAACAGUA